RNAcentral lists this long non-coding RNA (1345 nucleotides) under Equus asinus (donkey). Its description in RNAcentral is "lncRNA (ENSEASG00005025177.1)". Lineage: Eukaryota; Metazoa; Chordata; Mammalia; Perissodactyla; Equidae. The record is from RNAcentral.
AUCAAACUAGAAGGCAUCAAAGUAGGAAUAGUCUGACAGAGACUGCCAUUAAUAGAAAGCUACAGAAACAAAAACUGAGAAAUGCUGAAAUACUGUUUUCUUUUCUUCUCCUUUUUGUUUUUUCAAGCCACCAGAGUGAAUGGAAACAACUUAAGUAAGAUAAUCAGGAACAUGCAAUCAAUCAGGAAAUAGAAGACUUGAAACUAAUUAUCCAAAACACGUGUCGUUUGUAACCCAAGGGCCGUGAAGGGGUGCCUGCUAUGUCACCAAGCCACACCCGCCUGGCAAAUCAGGCAUGUGUGGGGGGCUCACCAUCAGUUCUUCACGGCAAUAAGACUCCUGAUCAGCCCAAAUCUCCUGCCUUGGGUCUCCCCUGGGAACAUCAUGACGCAAAUGAGAAGACGGAAAGUAAACAAUUGUAGGUAAAUUCUGCUAUAUGGGACGCCACCUCAGCGUGGCCUUACGAGCAAUGCCAUGUCCAUGCCCAGAAUCCGAACCAGCGAAACCCUGGGCCACCAAAAUGGAGCACGUGAAGUCAACCACUCGGCCAGGGGGCCGGCCCCGAGGUCUCUAUAUUUUUAAGAUACAUCUGACACAACAAGAAGAUAGCCCUCUGCAAACAAGGAAGCCAGCCCUCCCCAGAGAGCGGGGGCCUUGCUCUUAGGGCUCUCAGCCUCCAGAAUGUGAGAAACUAAUGCCUGUUUUGCCUGCCAGCCAGUCUGUGGUAUAUUACUAACUUGUGCCCAAGCCGAGACACCUCCCGCUCUUCAUGCCACUCAGCCUUCUCCCACUCUCAGCUCUUGUGGAGCUUCUUUUCUCUCCAAGGUAAAAUAACUUACAUCCAAUGCUGGAAGAAGGAUCUGGCUGUUAUUGCCCUGUUAUGAACUGACUCAUCUCCCUCAAAAUUCAUAUACUGAAGCCCUACCCCCCAGGACCACAGAAUGUGACUAUGUUUAGAGAUAGGGCCUUUAACGGGGUAAUCAAGGUUCAACGAGGUCAUUAGGGUGGGCCCUAUCCAACAUGACCAGUGUCUUUAUAAGAAGAAGAAAUUUGGACACGGACACAUACAGAUGGAAGACCUUAUGAGACACAGGGAGAGGAGAGCCACCUACAAGCCAAGGGGAGAGGCCUCAGAAGAAACCAACCUACCGACACCUUGAUCUAAGACUUCCAGCCUCCGGCACCAUGAGAAAUCAAGGUUUUGUUGUUUCAAGCCGCCCAGUCUGUGGUACUUCGUUAUGGCAGCCCUAGCAAACUGAUACAGGCUCCCCUCGUGGCCAUGACCUUGGAGGAGAGAAGGACAUUGCUACUCUACCCUCCAAACCCACUGCUACCGGGAGAUGAG